CUUCUCCUCAAUUUCUCUCACAUUUAAACCAUUAACUACCAUUUUCAAUUCUUAAAACCCCACAAGUGUAGCAAGAAAAAUGAAGAACAAAUUCUUCUUAUGUUUUCGACCCCCUCUUCUCAUUGAACCAGACCACAGUCAAGUAUUGCACUCUGAUUAUGGGAUUUCAACGUCGAAUGUUGUCGCAAAAGACCAGGAAAAACCCUGUUCUUCAACCAUAAAAUCUACACUUUUGGAUAAAAAUAAAUGUAGAUUUCCAGGACAAAACAAGUCUAGAAAGACAUUUUCUUCGGUUUUCGAAUUGCUCUCUCUAAAGGCUUCACUCGUUAGUUCCUUCUUCUUGAUCUUAUUUUGUUUUCUGUUUUGAUGUUUAUUUGUUAUGUUUCUGAUAGAAUAUUAUCUGGUUGUUUUAACAGAGAAAUAGGGCUCGCGAUAAAAACAUUCAUCGACUCAACCCUCAAUCCAAGAAAGUUAUUUCGCGAAAAAUGAGUAAGAGGCUGGAGGAUUUUGGCAAUGACGAAUCAGUAAAGCCAAAAGGAUUGGAUGCCAAUAUCAUACAAAUAAGCUCAGAUACGUCUAUACUUCCGGCUUCUUCGUCAAGUAAUUCAAAAAAUCUUGUACCAUUAUCCUCGCAACCAAUGCCUACGUCUACAGAUGAAACUUGUCAUAUUGCUACAAACACUUGUCCCGUUAGUUAUAACAUUUGGGGUCUUAUUUUCAUCACAUUUGCUCUGUUUUUAACCAUGUUUUGUGGUAAGACGAUUGCAAUUUUGUUUGCAUUAAUAUGGCUCUACGCGUUUCCUCUCCGACGGUGGGAGACCUGAGAAUUUGAUGCAGUCGCCGGAGACCGGAGAGUUCAAAAGAGCACACAACAAGAAGAAGGCAUACAAAGGACGGUGCAUUAAUGUUUUGACGUGAAAGAAAAUUUUCAGAUUCUUGAGUGCGUAUCUCUGUAGAAUUUAAAGCUUUAGGUUAAAAUAAAGCAUUCAAGUGAUUUCGUGUCUGAAUGUAUAUCUUUUCCUGUCAUAUUUUUGAUGUGGAGAAAGUGGAUGAAUCUCGAAACCAUGGUUUAACCCUUUUGGUGCAAAUAGC
RNAcentral lists this long non-coding RNA (1092 nucleotides) under Olea europaea subsp. europaea. Lineage: Eukaryota; Viridiplantae; Streptophyta; Magnoliopsida; Lamiales; Oleaceae. The record is from RNAcentral.